Molecule: long non-coding RNA, 4965 nt
Organism: Peromyscus leucopus (white-footed mouse)
Lineage: Eukaryota; Metazoa; Chordata; Mammalia; Rodentia; Cricetidae
Exons: 3
Source: RefSeq, a predicted model, not a curated record
CUGAUAUACAAGAUAUCUAAUAUGUGACCCCCAAAGGGGAUCAGGUUGAGAACCACUGGUUUAGUGGAUCAGAGGUCUAUAGGAGGGCUGAUACCUACAAGGGUAUGUGGGGCUAUGGUGACCAGCAGGGCCCAGACCCAGUAACAUCUGGAGUAUUUCCAGGGGAAGCAUGUCCAGCAGUGCCCAGUAAUUAACAGUAUGUCUAAUGGCUGUGGGGUAGAAGGAUGUCUCAUGGACUCUGGUAACUAGCAUUGUCCAUGGGGUAGUGGCACUGGGCAGGGGUGUCAUCUUGCAAGGUCUCAUGCCUUGGAGUUUAUAUGAGCAGCAUCAGGAGAUGUCCAGCAUGGCCUGAAAACGGUGUAUGUUGGCCAGCAGUGGGGGUGAGUAGGGCGUCUCAUGGGCCUGAACCCUAGCAGCACAAGUAGGGCAUCGGGGAGUGUUCAGAAGGUCCCGAUACCAAGCUGUCUACGUACAGUGUCAGCACAGUGUCCACCAGGUCAAGCUGUGUGGCAGUGUGUAUGCGAUAUGCAGUAGGGUCUGAUGCCUGGCACUGUGUGGCGUGGCGUGGCGUCCUUAGGGAAGGGGUGUCUAGGAGGGCCUAAAAGUUAAGUGGGAAGGUGGCUUUGGGUGGCCAUUCUUGCCUGAAAAACAGCAACGUGUGUGUGUGUGGGGGCAUCCAGGAAGGAGUGAUACCAAGCAGUGUGUUUGGAGCCGUGGCAGUGGGGGAAGGGAAGUCCAGCAGGACCUGUUAUCUGGUAGCUGUGUGGACUAGUGGAGGGGAUGCCCUACAGGGCUUCAGACCUCAGUGUUCAUGCUGUGGAUGGCGGCGGAUGUCCAGAAGGAUCUGAAUAUAGCAGUGUAUGUGGAGCUUUGUCAGGAUGUCUAGUGGGGCCUGAUAACUACCUGUGUUUUUCAGAUGGUGGCAGGGAGGGUGUGUUGUCAGUCACCAGUGUAGUAAGUGGUGUAGCCACUCUUGUGUGCUGUCCAGUGGGAUGCUAGAAUGGGCGUGUCCUACACUGCCUGAAAGUCACCAUUGUAUAUAGGGCAGCAGCAUGGGCGAGUGGGGGUCUAGGCAUUGGGCCUUACUGGGCAAACCCCUUCACUAAUACCCCACAUGCACGGGAAGGUAUCAACUACUGCUGCAUCCCUGGGCACAAAAACCUUCCAGGAAUCAGGCUCUGCUGGCCCCUACCCCACAUAAACUGGUGGAUAGCAGGGCCCUACUGGACACCACUCUGCAGCCCUACAUACACUGUUAUGAAACAGAUACUACUGGAACUCUACCCACACUUGAUGUAUUGGACUAAUACCAGACCAUCCUGGCCACAUUCCCUCUCUGUCCUCCUCACCCAUAAACAGUUGCUGUGUUUCAGACUCUGCUGAUAAGCCUACUGUGCUUUGCCCCACAUACAGUGCUAGUGUCACACCCUACUAGACACAUCACAUCCACGGCUAUGAGUUAGGCCCUGCUGGACACCUGACUCACACUCUAGGUACAUUGCUGAGGUUUAGUCCUGUUGACACUUGACUCCCAGACUUAGGAGACGCCGAGGAAUCAGGUCAUUCCUCUUGCUGCCACUGUGCUAUGUGUGAAAGCAGGUUCUACUGGACCUUCCCGCCACAUACAGUGUUCAGGGACAGGUCUGUGGGGUGCAUGUUCUCCCCUUUCCCAGUCAUUGCCAUCUGCGUACGCGACUAGGUUUUAAGCCAUGCUGGACACUCUCCUGAUGUUCCCCCAUAUACACUGCUUUAGCCAGCUGCCCAAGUCUUCCCAUUUACACUAGACAUCAGACCCUAUUUGACAUUCUCCAUCUCGGUAGCCAACUCACACCCACUGCCGGGUAUCAGACCCUACAGUGCACCCUCCCAUUCUACAGCCAACUUACAUACACUUGUAGUAUCCAGCUGGACUCCCCUGUCAUUGCCGCAUAUAGCUGUCUAAGAAUUAGGCCCUGCUGGACAACCCACCCCAGACCACCAGUGUACACUGCUAUGUUGCAGGACUUGGUAACACCCUCUGAUGAUCCUUUGCCUUCUUCCCUCAAAGCCCAUUCCCGUAGUGUGGUGGGCCAGCAGCUGUUGGGUGGCAUCUAACAGAGAUAUCUAGCAGUAGGUGUGCUAGCUAGCAGUGUGUUGAGGUGGCAGCAGCAUCUGUCCUGGUGGUCCUCAUAUCUAAUGGCUCAUGUGGCACAGGUGGGAAGAGGGUGUCUUCCAGACAUGUCUGGUGGGCAGUGGCAGGGGGCAGGGUGUCCAUGUAUGUGCUUGUGCUCUUGAUACUUUCCCAUGCUUUCUGCUCAGAAAGAAGGCAAACUUGCUGUCAGACACAUUGAACACACGUGGAACAUGGUGGGGCUGGCUGAUGUAUUUUACAAUCUCCUAAGGACUUUAGGUUGCACAGGACAAAUGCAGAGUUUGCUUUCCUGGCCUUCUCAGUAUAAAGGUAAACAAUUCCGUGAAGAAAUAGAGGGAGCCACAGUUGCUGGACUUUGCACACAUUGAUCAAUCCUUCAGAACUGCUCAUACUCAGAUUCCCAGGGAGAGCUUGGCCACCUCUCUUUGGCCUGUCCCAUGUGGGUAAUGGCUUUUCCUGGUCCAGAAUGCAUUUCCAACAAGGGGUAGGGGAUGCUGUUGCUAUUGCUCAGGGCUACUCAGUACUAAGUCACUCACUGUGUCUCUUUCCUGUGUCUUUCUCCUUUCAAGUGGAGAAAGAGAAAGACCUGUCUCUGUGGUUGUUGAACCACGAGGAGCAGAGAUCAGCCUGGCAUGGACUGAGAGCCAGAGGAAGGAGCCGAGCCAGAGCUCCAUUGGGCUGUGUGCCUGUACACCCCUCAGAUACUGAAGACACUCUGGGCACAAGUUUCUGUACCCUUCCUCCAGCUGCUGGACUUUAGCUACUUGCCUCCUGCUCCUUCAGCUUCCUGCAGCACUUGCUCUGAUGCUCUGGUCAAGCUGGUUAAGCAUGGCACCAUCAUCCUGGCUCCUGACUUGUAUUUGCACCAUGUUCUGGAAUCUUGACCACUACCAGGACACUUAAUAUGAGUAUGAGGAACUUGGGACAUCCAUCUCUCCUGCAGGACUUUCACUGCUCUGCUGGAGCCACAGCCAGUUUAGGCCCUGCAGGUGAUGAUACAGAUGCAGGACAGUAGAGGACAGCAUGACUGAUACCUGUUCUGUGGAGCUAUGCUGACAGUUUAGAACACUGGCAGCAUCAAUGACUCUCGUGGCGGGGCACAGGAAUCCACACCACCGCUGGCUGGAGAGCAGACAUACCUGGAGCCCUCCCCAUAACACCUGUGCACUCUGUCUAGCAGGCCUCAGACUCUAGUCUUUGCUCUUGGGAGGGAGGAGGGAGCCAGCAUCCCCUUUUCUCUCUUCAUUUGUGAUUCAGCAGAGGCAAAGAGGAGACUGAGAGGCAGGGGCUGGCCUGGCCUGAGUGUCGUGCCACAGCUGGGACCUGGCAAAUGACGUUCCACUGACUAGGUUGUUGGCUAGUCAUUGGCGAAGGCCAAUAGGUAGAGUAGAAGUAAAGUGUGUGAGUCGGGUGCGUGUUGGGAACAUAAUGUUAAUAGUAAUGUCAUUUUCUAUAACAUGUAAGACUUUAUUAAUUCUAGUCACUUUAUUUACUUUUUUUUUUUUGAUGAGCUUUCUGGGGUUUUCAACACACAGGUUCAUGUCCUCUGUGAAUGUAACUUCUACUUGCAAUCCCACUGGGAUGAGCAACCAACCAACCUCCCUCCCUCCCUCCCUUCCCCUUCCUUCCCCCCUCCCUCCACUGCACUCACCCUCCUCUUUCUUCUCCUCUCCUUGCAUCUCCUACCUUCCUCUCCUGGACCAGAGACCACAGUUUUAAUCCUCCCCCUUAUCUCAGCAUGAUGCUAAAUGCUGACAUUCCCAACACCGGGGAAACUGAGGCUCCAGAACCCUGACAUUCAAGGCCAACCUGGGCUACCAUAACGAAAGAACCCCUUCUCAAAAACGUGUUCUUUCAUUAAGGCUAUCGUCUGCCCUCUAAACUACAAGGUCUAGGUCGUUCAUAUUUAGCACACUUCCUGAUGUUGUUAGCCUUGAGCAGUUUUCUUUUGGACAUUUUGUUUCAGCCCCCCUCUCCACUUUUAUUUCUCAACAGCUUCCUUUAGUACUAUAUAGCUGUUUUAUUGUGUUAUAUUGAUUAUUUUGCUAAUUUUGUGACUAUGGUUACUAGAUACUCUAAUGAUGCACCCAAACUUAGUUCACAUUAAUAGUAACCUAGCUUUGAUAAAAUAGAGAAACUGCUUUAACACAGCUGUUAGCUUUCCCUCGUCUGUGCCAUAAUGGCCAUUUUUAUUACAUCUCUAUGAUGGAAACCCAUCAACACAUUGUUUUAAUACUUCGUAUGACACCAGGUCAUUUUGGGUGUGUUAAUGUCUAUGCAGACUUUAUUACCUCUGUACUUGCCAUUUAUCGGUUUCAAAUUAAUUUACCAUCUGGUACCAUUUCCUUCCACACUUGAAAGACUUUCUUUAGUCCUUAUUAUGAGGUGGGCUUGCUAGCCAUAAACUUUUUAUCUGAGAAUGCGUUUAUGUUCACUUCAUGACUGAAGGGGAAUUUGGCUGUUUAUAGAAUUCUUCUUUUAGUAAAUUUUAGUUAACACAGUUUCCUAGUUUUCAUCUGCAGAAUUUCUUCUUGGUUCGUCUUAGAGUUCCUUUUACUUUUCUGGCCCCCAUGUUACUAUUAUCACACUAUCACUGUGUGGUAAUUGUACUACUUGCAUCCUAUUACUGUGUAGCAAUUUGACUGUGGUUAGAUGUUCUUCACCAAAAUGACUAUUAUUUCUGACACCAAGUCACAUCCCUCCUCUGCCCUCAGUGCUAGAUUACAGGUAUGUGUGGCUAUUUCAGGCUUUUUACAUGGGUGGUGGGGAUCCAAACUAAGCAUGCACAUUGGGUUCUCUUAUCCAGUGAGCCGUCUCCUCGGCCUUCAAAAAUA